RNAcentral lists this small RNA (64 nucleotides) under Mycolicibacterium hassiacum DSM 44199. RNAcentral describes it as "Mycobacterium hassiacum DSM 44199 Mycobacterium sRNA Ms_IGR-8". The stretch from base 13 to 64 matches the Rfam family "Mycobacterium sRNA Ms_IGR-8", at positions 12 to 63 of the family's 63-position model. Lineage: Bacteria; Bacillati; Actinomycetota; Actinomycetes; Mycobacteriales; Mycobacteriaceae. The record is from Rfam by way of RNAcentral.
CUGCGCGACUGACCGCGAACGUGAAACGGCUGCGGAGAAUCGGCCGAUUUUCCGCAGUGGUUUC